UGGGGAAUAUUGCACAAUGGAGGGAACUCUGAUGCAGCAACGCCGCGUGCGGGAUGACGGCCUUCGGGUUGUAAACCGCUUUCAGCCAUGACGAAGCUUUUGUGACGGUAGUGGUAGAAGAAGCACCGGCUAACUACGUGCCAGCAGCCGCGGGGAUACGUAGGGUGCGAGCGUUGUCCGGAAUUAUUGGGCGUAAAGAGCUUGUAGGCGGUUUGUCGCGUCGAUAGUGUAAACACGCAGCUUAACUGUGUGCCUGCUGUCGAUACGGGCUGACUAGAGGAGGGUAGGGGAGAAUGGAAUUCCCGGUGGAGCGGUGGAAUGCGCAGAUAUCGGGGGGAACACCAGUGGCGAAGGCGGUUCUCUGGACCUUUCCUGACGCUGAGAAGCGAAAGCGUGGGUAGCAAACAGG
RNAcentral lists this ribosomal RNA (409 nucleotides) under Fusobacteriota bacterium. RNAcentral's name for it is "Fusobacteria bacterium partial 16S ribosomal RNA". It matches the Rfam family "Bacterial small subunit ribosomal RNA", at positions 355 to 776 of the family's 1533-position model. Lineage: Bacteria; Fusobacteriati; Fusobacteriota. The record is from RNAcentral.